AUUGAACGCUGGCGGCAGGCCUAACACAUGCAAGUCGAACGGUAACAGGAAGAAGCUUGCUUCUUUGCUGACGAGUGGCGGACGGGUGAGUAAUGUCUGGGAAACUGCCUGAUGGAGGGGGAUAACUACUGGAAACGGUAGCUAAUACCGCAUAACGUCGCAAGACCAAAGAGGGGGACCUUCGGGCCUCUUGCCAUCGGAUGUGCCCAGAUGGGAUUAGCUAGUAGGUGGGGUAACGGCUCACCUAGGCGACGAUCCCUAGAUGGUCUGAGAGGAUGACCAGCCACACUGGAACUGAGACACGGUCCAGACUCCUACGGGAGGCAGCAGUGGGGAAUAUUGCACAAUGGGCGCAAGCCUGAUGCAGCCAUGCCGCGUGUAUGAAGAAGGCCUUCGGGUUGUAAAGUACUUUCAGCGGGGAGGAAGGGAGUAAAGUUAAUACCUUUACUCAUUGACGUUACCCGCAGAAGAAGCACCGGCUAACUCCGUG
RNAcentral lists this ribosomal RNA (490 nucleotides) under uncultured bacterium. RNAcentral describes it as "partial 16S ribosomal RNA". It matches the Rfam family "Bacterial small subunit ribosomal RNA", at positions 30 to 507 of the family's 1533-position model. The record is from RNAcentral.